ACGGUGGCCCGGUACGCCGUGGCCACCCCGGACGAGUCGUGGGCGUACCCGGUCAGGCCAAGACGCCCCGCG
This is a regulatory RNA element of Micromonospora yangpuensis, 72 nucleotides long. Lineage: Bacteria; Bacillati; Actinomycetota; Actinomycetes; Micromonosporales; Micromonosporaceae. The record is from Rfam.